This is a non-coding RNA of Equus caballus (horse), 667 nucleotides long. Lineage: Eukaryota; Metazoa; Chordata; Mammalia; Perissodactyla; Equidae. The record is from RefSeq and is a predicted model, not a curated record.
UGAUCAGCCUUUAAGAGUCAAAGCUUCCCCUCGGGAAAUGCCAAAAUAAACUAGAAACAUCAGAAAACAUGUUCCCUGUUUAAAGAGGAGAUGUUUAAUCUUCUUUUUAUUCUUUGCUAAGCAUUCCCUCCUUCCAGGCUAAAUUAAGGAGUAACAUUGACACCGCUCCAGGAAAGACAUGCUAACCCUUCCGUAAGCUAAUUGUCAAGUGAUGGUGCCAGCUUUGGGCAGUGAGUUCUUAACUGUCAAUAAGCGAAGACAAAGAUUAGAAAGAGAGAAGAAGGAGCAGUGAGGACAAGCCCGCGCUCCUACGGCACACACUCACUCACCCGCAAGACUUUCCCAACAGCUAGAAGCACUGACUGGACAUCAUACACAGAUUUAUCCAUUCCAGCUUCCUCCUUCUUUACCUAGAGUGGGCUUUACUCACUCAGGAUCAGGGGAAAUGAUGGUACAACAAGAGUAAGUGAUUUAAAGGUCCAGAGGGAGGAAAAGACAAAAUAACUCUGCCUUCCUGAUUCCCUGGAGAGUCAAGUCUAACUGGGCAGUUUUCUGGAAGCGGCUUCUCGGGCAUGUCAGCAGUGAGGAUGCAGAAGAACUAAAUGAAAACGAUUCUUACAAGAAACAUGACAUAAGAAGAGGGGAGAGAGAAGUAGCCAGAUUUUUU